GUUGUAUGGUUAAGUGACGAAGCGUAUACGGUGGAUGCCUUGGCAGUUAGAGGCGAUGAAGGACGUGUAAGUCUGCGAAAAGCUGUGGUGAGCCGACAAAAUGCAUUUGAGCCACAGAUGUCCGAAUGGGGAAACCCACCUGUUUACAGGUAUCGUUACAUGAAUACAUAGUGUAACGAGGCGAACGAGGGGAACUGAAACAUCUAAGUACCCUUAGGAAAAGAAAUCAAUUGAGAUUCCCCUAGUAGCGGCGAGCGAACGGGGAACAGCCCUUAAGCUGUAUUGAAUGUAGUGGAAUCCUUUGGGAAGAGGAGCGAUACAAGGUGAUAGCCCUGUACACGACGCAAUCUUUACAGUGAAAUCGAGUAGGUCGGGACACGUGUUAUCUUGACUGAAUAUGGGGGGACCAUCCUCCAAGGCUAAAUACUCCUAACUGACCGAUAGUGAACCAGUACCGUGAGGGAAAGGCGAAAAGAACCCCUGUGAGGGGAGUGAAAUAGAACCUGAAACCGUAUACGUACAAGCAGUGGGAGCCCUUCGGGGUGACUGCGUACCUUUUGUAUAAUGGGUCAGCGACUUAUAUUUAGUAGCAAGGUUAAGCGAAUAGCGGAGCCGUAGCGAAAGCGAGUGUUAACUGCGCGUUUAGUUGCUAGGUAUAGACCCGAAACCCGGUGAUCUAGCCAUGAGCAGGUUGAAGGUUGAGUAACAUCAACUGGAGGACCGAACCCACUGACGUUGAAAAGUCAGGGGAUGACUUGUGGCUGGGGGUGAAAGGCCAAUCAAACCGGGAGAUAGCUGGUUCUCCCCGAAAUCUAUUUAGGUAGAGCCUCGGACGAAUUCCAUUGGGGGUAGAGCACUGUUAAGGCUAGGGGGUCAUCCCGACUUACCAACCCUUUGCAAACUCCGAAUACCAAUGAGAACUAUCCGGGAGACACACGGCGGGUGCUAACGUCCGUCGUGGAGAGGGAAACAACCCAGACCGCCAGCUAAGGUCCCAAAAUAUUGCUAAGUGGGAAACGAUGUGGGAAGGCAUAGACAGCUAGGAGGUUGGCUUAGAAGCAGCCACCCUUUAAAGAAAGCGUAAUAGCUCACUAGUCGAGUCGGCCUGCGCGGAAGAUGUAACGGGGCUAAGCAAUAUACCGAAGCUGCGGCAGCAUAGUUUACUAUGCUGGGUAGGGGAGCGUUGUGUAAGUGGAUGAAGGUGAGUUGUAAAGCUUGCUGGACAUAUCACAAGUGCGAAUGCUGACAUGAGUAACGAUAAUGGGAGUGAAAAACUCCCACGCCGGAAGACCAAGGUUUCCUGUCCCAUGCUAAUCAGGGCAGGGUAAGUCGGCCCCUAAGGCGAGGCAGAAAUGCGUAGUCGAUGGGAAACGGAUUAAUAUUUCCGUACUUAUAUAAUCAGUGAUGGAGGGACGGAGAAGGCUAGGCAAGCUUGGCGUUGGUUGUCCAAGUGAAAGCGAGUAGGCCGAGAAUUUAGGUAAAUCCGGAUUCUUAAAGCUGAGACGCGAGACGAGCUCCCAAGGGAGUGAAGUUGUUGAUGCCCUGCUUCCAGGAAAAGCUUCUAAACUUAUGAUUAUAUGAACCGUACCCCAAACCGACACAGGUGGUCAGGUAGAGAAUACUAAGGCGCUUGAGAGAACUCGGGUGAAGGAACUCGGCAAAAUUGUACCGUAACUUCGGGAGAAGGUACGCCUCUGUUUGUGAACACUUCGCGUGGUAAGCAAAUGGAGGCCGCAGUGACCAGGUGGCUGGGACUGUUUAUUAAAAACACAGCACUCUGCAAACUCGUAAGAGGACGUAUAGGGUGUGACACCUGCCCGGUGCCGGAAGGUUAAUUGAUGGGGUUAGU
Molecule: ribosomal RNA, 1849 nt
Filed under: Alteromonas sp. BL110
Lineage: Bacteria; Pseudomonadati; Pseudomonadota; Gammaproteobacteria; Alteromonadales; Alteromonadaceae
Description: bacterial LSU rRNA
Rfam family: Bacterial large subunit ribosomal RNA
Source: RNAcentral